Molecule: RNA transcript, 3085 nt
Organism: Musa acuminata AAA Group (dessert banana)
Lineage: Eukaryota; Viridiplantae; Streptophyta; Magnoliopsida; Zingiberales; Musaceae
Gene name: membrane-anchored ubiquitin-fold protein 4-like
Exons: 6
Source: RefSeq, a predicted model, not a curated record
CUUCCGCUCGCACGUACCUAUCGUGUUUUUGGAGGCAUCGGUGGCCAACCCAGGGCUGGACAUGGGCCCAACCUUGCUUCCGACGGCCACACCCGGUGUCUCGUCGACAUGACGCACGCUGCUUGCCCUUUAGCUUGUAUUUAUCCCUUUGAUGGUUUGAUAACUCCGCCUCCCAAUUUUAUUCCCUCUUCCUCUUGUAAUUUACCUGUUCUUGGGAUCAACCACAUUCCUUCUUGAACCCUAACGGGACUCUGCCUUGGAAUCCCCAUCGCAAGAUUUCACCUUUAAUCCUUUCCCGGGUUUCUCAAAUCUCACUUGCCGGUUUCCUUCGCUUCUCUCCAUCGCAACGUCCCUGCUCGAUUCCGCCGGGAAAGGUGAUUGGUGAUUUAUCGGAGAGCAAAUGCCCGAAGAGGAUCUGAUCGAGCUCAAGUUCCGGCUGUUCGAUGGGUCGGACAUCGGGCCGAUCCGCUACUCUUCUACGUCCACCGUCGCCAUGCUCAAAGACAGGAUAAUCUCCGAGUGGCCACGAGAUAAGAAGAUUAUACCAGAGGUGGCUAAUGAUGUCAAACUGAUAAGUGCGGGCAAAAUAUUAGAGAACAAUAUGACGGUUGCCCAGUGCGCAUCAUCACCUUUUAGUGAACUUCCAGCAGGUGUGAUCACCAUGCAUGUUGUUGUGCAACCAUCUUCGACUAAAACUAAAACGGAUAUGUUGGUGAUAAGCGGAAGAAGGAUCUUGUUGAAGCAUUUGUGUGACAGGAUAAGCUCAAACACUUGCUAUGAGGAUAAACUGGUGGUAGUCAACUGGUAGUCAACUGAUGCAUUCAUUCUUGUAGUCACUGUAUUCUUUGGGGAUGCAAGGCCAUCGAGAAGGAAGUAAAAGAAUUAGACAAUGGGUUUGAAAGCAGAAAAGGACUCCAUUGGAUGAAGAAAAGAGGAAAUGUGCCCUCAAAUAGAAAGAAGUUUGGUGCGAGUAAAUACUAUUAGCAAACUAGCAGACAAGUCCUUUUCUUGCUUCAACCACUGACAGAGAACCAAGUGAUGUCGUAGGACAUUGGUGAUCUUGCAAUCGUGCCAUUGCUGAGCUUGGGAGCCCGAGAAGCACGUUGAUGCCCUUCCUCUUCCUCUCCUUCCCAUGGGACAGGAACAGGAUCACCUCCUUCUCAGGUAGAGUCACAGGCCCGGACUGCACUGGCUCCCCCCACCCGAAGUCCGUGGUGUGGAAGGACAGCCGAGACCAGGUUGUGAUCAGAAGAGUGGGCGUCAACGAAGGCCUCGCCCUCGUGGCUUCGAAGUAGUCCAUCGCCGAUCUCAUGUACUCAUCAGUCACCGUCUUGACUGCGUCCUGCACCAGUCCGACGGCGAACGAGAGCGGGCGGCCCAGAAGGUCCCCUGCCGUGCUCAGGCAGGCGGUGAGCAUGGUGCCGUUGCCGAAGUAGCCCUGCGGCAGCGGGGGAUCGAAUCGGGACCGCCCGUCGACCGCGAACAGGAGCUUCGUCUUUUGCCCCGGCUGCAGCCUCAGCGCCUCCGUCCGGGCUCUCCACACGUGGCCGGAGAGCGCCUCGAAGGUCGUGCACUUGGCGAGAGCUCCGUCUUCCAGAGCUCUCCUCUUCACGCGUCCGAGCUUCUCAGGCUCGAAGCAGAAGGACCUGUACGCCAUCUCUUCACCGUACAGUGCCGUGGUGUCGGAGACGUCUUCGAUCUCGGCGAACUCGUGGUGGGGAAAACUGACGAGAGGAGGAUUUCGAGACUCGAGAACGGUGCGGUCGACGAACGGCGGUACCGAUAUCGGCAGGCCUCGUGCCGUUUCGCCCCAGGAGUUGACGAACUCCAUCGCUCCCAACCCAUCGAACAUGCAGUGGUUGACGGCUAGCCCAAGGAUGAAUCCCCCGCUCCUGAACGUAGUGACCUGAAGGAAGCACGCGAUGAGCUUCCGAUGAUUGUAUGAUCGAAACAAGCUGCAAGGGUGCGAGUUCCGAACCUGAACGACCAAUGGCGGCAUCUCCAGCAAGUUAUUGGCACCGAGAAUGGUGUAGACGAGCUUGCCGAGAGUGUCGGGGUUAGGCUUCGUGAUGUCGCCAACGUCCUCCAUCUCGCAAUCUGCUUCAGCCUCCACGAACACCGCCCCUUCUCCGGUGCAAUCGACGAUGAGCUUCCCCUCGUCGCUGAUCGCCAGCCGCCCGGCCAGCGGGUAGUAGUGAACGAGGACCUUCGCCAGAGCCGCCUUGAUCACUUGCGCAGCUUCCUCGUUCCCCUUCUCCUGCGACCUGAAGCAGUAUACGGUCCGAACUAUGACCGCAAUGUUCUGGUCGAGGUUGGAGAGGAAGUAGAGGCCCUUCGCCGUCUCUUCCGCCGGCGGAACAAGCGUCGGUUCCCCUUGCUCCACGCAGAGUUCAAACUUCUCUCUCGGCUCUGCAAUCUGACCACCGCAUACACAAACAAAAAGUAUAGUCUCUGCACGUCAACCAUACAUACCGUCAAAACAUAGAACUGAGUUGAGAUGUAGUCUACCAUGUUCGACGGCUGAGACAUCUGAUUAGAAGCUCGAGAAAGAAGACGAGAGAUGGUUGGUUCCAUGGGGCUAACACACGGUGCAAUUUAUAGAGAGCUUGAGACGAGAAGUCGACUGGUGAAUGGGAGGCAUGCAGUGCACAGCUAACAGUUUUGAGAGCUCAGAGGAUGUGAGGCAUCACGAUCUCUUCUGUUGAUGUGAUUGACCUCCCAACCUACAGGAUUCCCAUAUCAUUGGCCCAAAUCAGCAAAGUUGCAUUGCGAGUGAUGAUUACCAUGGAUGACGAUAAUAGAUCAUGCUGGUCAUUGAAUGUUAGGAUGCUGCAGUCUUGGACUGCCAGUGUGAUGUCAGUGUCACUGGAUUAAGUGUCAUAAAUUGCAUUGCUGUAGAGGCGGGUGCAGACUCCAUCACACCACAACUAGCAAGGUUGCAUGCAUGGAGGAGGCCAUGAGUCACAUGGAAGGGGCUGUUGGCCUAUAUAUGCUUUGGUAAGCCUAAAAUAGUCAACUAAUAAUAGUGUGUUGAGAUUCUCAAAUCUAUCACAUCUAUAGGGCAGGCUGCCUCAUUUGAUCUGUA